Trametes meyenii is the source of this 87-nucleotide non-coding RNA. NCBI's taxonomy places the organism in Eukaryota, Fungi, Basidiomycota, Agaricomycetes, Polyporales, Polyporaceae. The record is from the annotation of a GenBank genome assembly.
GGCCGACUGGCCUAAUGGUUAAGGCGUCAGUUUCCGGUGGACGUGUUCAAUAGCUGAAGAUUUUGGGUUCGAAUCCCAGGUUGGUCG